RNAcentral lists this ribosomal RNA (467 nucleotides) under uncultured bacterium. RNAcentral's name for it is "bacterial SSU rRNA". It matches the Rfam family "Bacterial small subunit ribosomal RNA", at positions 330 to 797 of the family's 1533-position model. The record is from RNAcentral.
UCCAGACUCCUACGGGAGGCAGCAGUGAGGAAUAUUGGUCAAUGGGCGCGAGCCUGAACCAGCCAAGUCGCGUGAGGGAAGACGGUCCUAUGGAUUGUAAACCUCUUUUGUCGGGGAGCAAAAGACGCCACGCGUGGCGUUCCGAGAGUACCCGAAGAAAAAGCAUUGGCUAACUCCGUGCCAGCAGCCGCGGUAAUACGGAGGAUGCGAGCGUUAUCCGGAUUUACUGGGUGUAAAGGGAGCGUAGACGGCAUUGCAAGUCUGAUGUGAAAGAUUGGGGCUCAACCCCAGGCCUGCAUUGGAAACUGUAAAGCUGGAGUACAGGAGAGGUAAGCGGAAUUCCUAGUGUAGCGGUGAAAUGCGUAGAUAUUAGGAGGAACACCAGUGGCGAAGGCGGCUUACUGGACUGUAACUGACGUUGAGGCUCGAAAGCGUGGGGAGCAAACAGGAUUAGAUACCCGCGUACA